AAGGGGAAAUAAAGGCAGUUGUUCAGCAGUUCAGAGGAUAUUAACAAAAGCUGCACGACAGUCUUAUCUAAAGUAAGAAUUUAACCAUAAAACCUCAAGUUCCAAUAAAGAGAACUUGUUUGGGACAAUUAUAUAUCAAAUAUUGUGCAUUUUGCACUUAAGUACUUGUGUGCAUGUAUAGGGGACUACUUACUUCAGUAUCAGAGGCUCCAGGAAACGCAACCUGAAAAACCUGAGUCAGGCAGGAACCCCAGCUUGUUGCUGUAACAGACAUCUCUUCUUCCACCCAUCCAUCCAUCUAUACAUCCAUAGACCUUCAUGUUUCUGGGAACUACCAUUUCCCAAGACCUGAAAUGGGAGUCCAACUUAAACUCUAUUCUAAAAAGGGAAGAGGAUGUACUUUCUAUGCCAAUUAAGGAAGUAUGCCACAUAAGCUGUUGAUACAGUUCUACACUGCAGUCAUUGAAUCUGUCCUGUGCACAUCCAUCACCAUUUGGUUUGGAGCAGCAUCAAAGCAGGACAGGAACAGACUGCAGCAAACAGUUAAAACAGCAAAAAACAUGGGUGCUCAUUUACAACUUUCUAAUGAUAUUCACUGCUUUAUAUCUAUUAAUUCUGCUUUAUGAGAACCGUUAGUCAUCAUUUCAUUCCCAUAUGUUACACACACUGUUGCUGCUGUAUAUUGUAAAAUAGUUCUAAAGUAUCCUCUUUAUCUUACGUGACACAUAAUACUGCUAUUUGCACUACCAUGC
Silurus meridionalis is the source of this 752-nucleotide long non-coding RNA. RefSeq lists it as uncharacterized. Lineage: Eukaryota; Metazoa; Chordata; Actinopteri; Siluriformes; Siluridae. The transcript has 3 exons. The record is from RefSeq and is a predicted model, not a curated record.